This 505-nucleotide ribosomal RNA is filed under the name uncultured bacterium. RNAcentral describes it as "partial 16S ribosomal RNA". It matches the Rfam family "Bacterial small subunit ribosomal RNA", at positions 28 to 507 of the family's 1533-position model. The record is from RNAcentral.
GACGAACGCUGGCGGCGUGCCUAAUACAUGCCAGUAGAACGCACAGUUUAUACCGUAGCUUGCUACACCAUAAACUGUGAGUUGCGAAUGGGUGAGUAACGCGUAAGUAACCUGCCUGGUAUCGGUGGGUAACUAUUGGAAACGAUAGCUAAUACCUCAUAAUAUUCAUUAUUGCAUGAUAAUUGAUUGAAAUAUGCUAUUGCAUCACUACCAGCUGGACCUGGGUUCUAUUAGCUAGUAGGUGAGGUAACGGCUCACCUAGGCGAAGAUUCAUAGCCGAACUGGAGGGGGGGGCGGCCAAACCGGGAAUGGGAACACGCCCAGACCUCUAAGGGAGGGAGCAGGAGGGGAUCUUUGGGAAUGGAGGGAAGGCUGAACGGGCAACGCCGGGUGAGGGAAGAAGGGUCUCGGAUCGGAAAGCUCUGUUGUAAGAGAAGAAAGGGUGUGAGAGUGGAAAGUUCACACUGUGACGGUAUCUUAUCAGAAAGGGACGGCUAACUACGUG